CUAGCUGUAAACGAUGGAUACUAGGCGUUGAGAGUAUCGACCCUCUCAGUGUCGUAGCUAACGCGUUAAGUAUCCCGCCUGGGGAGUACGCGCGCAAGCGUGAAACUCAAAGGAAUUGACGGGGGCCCGCACAAGCGGUGGAGUAUGUGGUUUAAUUCGAUGCAACGCGAAGAACCUUACCAGGGCUUGACAUGUCCGGAACCCUGCCCAAAGGCGGGGGUGCCUACGGGAACCGGAAUACAGGUGGUGC
This 250-nucleotide ribosomal RNA is filed under the name uncultured Chroococcidiopsis sp. Its description in RNAcentral is "partial 16S ribosomal RNA". It matches the Rfam family "Bacterial small subunit ribosomal RNA", at positions 796 to 1044 of the family's 1533-position model. The record is from RNAcentral. Lineage: Bacteria; Bacillati; Cyanobacteriota; Cyanophyceae; Chroococcidiopsidales; Chroococcidiopsidaceae.